RNAcentral lists this ribosomal RNA (477 nucleotides) under uncultured organism. RNAcentral's name for it is "partial 16S ribosomal RNA". It matches the Rfam family "Bacterial small subunit ribosomal RNA", at positions 332 to 800 of the family's 1533-position model. The record is from RNAcentral.
UACACUCCUGCGGGAGGCAGCAGUGGGGAAUUUUGGACAAUUGGCGAAAGCCUGAUCCAGCAAUGCCGCGUGAGUGAAGAAGGCCUUCGGGUUGUAAAGCUCUUUUGUCAGGGAAGAAACGGUGAAAGCUAAUAUCUUUUGCUAAUGACGGUACCUGAAGAAUAAGCACCGGCUAACUACGUGCCAGCAGCCGCGGUAAUACGUAGGGUGCAAGCGUUAAUCGGAAUUACUGGGCGUAAAGCGUGCGCAGGCGGUUUUGUAAGUCUGAUGUGAAAUCCCCGGGCUCAACCGGGGAAUUGCAUUGGAGACUGCAAGGCUAGAAUCUGGCAGAGGGGGGUAGAAUUCCACGUGUAGCAGUGAAAUGCGUAGAUAUGUGGAGGAACACCGAUGGCGAAGGCAGCCCCCUGGGUCAAGAUUGACGCUCAUGCACGAAAGCGUGGGGAGCAAACAGGAUUAGAUACCCGAGUAGUCCCAUGA